This 266-nucleotide ribosomal RNA is filed under the name uncultured bacterium. Its description in RNAcentral is "partial 16S ribosomal RNA". It matches the Rfam family "Bacterial small subunit ribosomal RNA", at positions 88 to 354 of the family's 1533-position model. The record is from RNAcentral.
AUGGCGACCGGCGCACGGGUGGCGUAACGCGUAUGCAACCUACCUGUAACAGGGGGAUAACACUGAGAAAUCGGUACUAAUACCGCAUAACACUAUGAGAGGCAUCUCUUGUGGUUGAAAGUUUCGGCGGUUACAGAUGGGCAUGCGUUGUAUUAGCUGGUUGGUAAGGUAACGGCUUACCAAGGCGACGAUACAUAGGGGGACUGAGAGGUUAACCCCCCACAUUGGUACUGAGACACGGACCAAACUCCUACGGGAGGCAGCAG